This 306-nucleotide unclassified non-coding RNA is filed under the name Hevea brasiliensis (rubber tree). The record is from RNAcentral. Lineage: Eukaryota; Viridiplantae; Streptophyta; Magnoliopsida; Malpighiales; Euphorbiaceae.
GUUGGCUUAAUUCAAAGACUAACAGUGAACUUGGCCCACUAAAUUGGGUUGGUUCUGGCUUCUCAAAAACCUGUGGUGAAUUCAGAGUAGGUAGAUAUGANNNNNNNNNNNNNGUGCACUUAAUUCCUUUUCACACAAGGUCAAGUGGACAAAAGGUAGUCGUGGGGUAAUUUGCAUAUACCCUAAGAAGGGAGAUGUUUGGGCUUUGUAUCGGAAUUGGUCACCUGAAUGGAAUGAACUGACAGAAGAUGAGGUGAUACACAAGUAUGACAUGGUAGAAGUACUAGAAGAUUACAGUGAAGAACU